This 488-nucleotide ribosomal RNA is filed under the name uncultured soil bacterium. Its description in RNAcentral is "bacterial SSU rRNA". It matches the Rfam family "Bacterial small subunit ribosomal RNA", at positions 26 to 480 of the family's 1533-position model. The record is from RNAcentral.
AGAUUGAACGCUGGCGGCAGGCCUAACACAUGCAAGUCGAGCGCGAAAGUUCCUUCGGGAAUGAGUAGAGCGGCGGACGGGUGAGUAACGCGUAGGAAUUUGCCCAGUAGUGGGGGACAACUCGGGGAAACGUCGAGCUAAUACCGCAUACGCCCCAAGGGGGAAAGCAGGGGAUCUUCGGACCUUGCGCUAUUGGAUAAGCCUGCGUCGGAUUAGCUAGUUGGUGGGGUAAGGCCUACCAAGGCAACGAUCCGUAGCUGGUCUGAGAGGAUGAUCAGCCACACUGGGACUGAGACACGGCCCAGACUCCUAACGGGAGGCGAGCAGGUGGGGAAAUACUUAGGGACAAGUGGGGGGCAAACCCUGAUCCGAGGCCAAGUGCCGCGGUGUAGUGAAAGAAGGUCCUUAAGGGUUGUAAAAGCAACGUUUCAGUGGGGAAGGAAAAAAGCGUAGGCCGGUACUAAAGUUAACUCCCGGUACCGGUCCCC